This is a long non-coding RNA of Hemicordylus capensis (graceful crag lizard), 673 nucleotides long. RefSeq lists it as uncharacterized. NCBI's taxonomy places the organism in Eukaryota, Metazoa, Chordata, Lepidosauria, Squamata, Cordylidae. The record is from RefSeq and is a predicted model, not a curated record. The transcript has 4 exons.
GAGAAAAUGUAAAUAAAUAAAUAAAUAAAUAAAAAAAAAUAAAAUAAUUAUAAUUAUCCACCAAAAUGAAUGAAAAUCAGUUGGUAAUCUAGGAGCCUGAGCCCACACAGAAACUAUCCCAGUGCUUGCUGCUGGUCCCUCUUUCCAAGGGGUGAGGAGAAUUUUGCCACGCGGAAGCUGCAAUUCUGUGAUCCCGCUCUUCCUUCAAGGAGCUCCAUGCCUCUUCCUGCCAAGGGCUGAAUGGGAAUUGCUAUGCAGCCGGUGCAGUUUUGGGGUAAAACGUGUGGGGAAACAGUUAUGAGCUCCCUUUAUCAUCUUGCCUUCAAGGGGAAUCUCCCGCCCACCUCCAAGCAAGCCCCAACGAUAUAUCUUGCAUCAUGCAGAAAGCUUCUGGCAACCAGCCUGAAUUGGUCAUGAAAGCUGAAGGAAACAAGGAUUUGCCAGUCAUCUCUCUCCAUCAUCAAUUCCACCCUGGUCAGCUGCUGAAAUGCCAGAAGGAGGAGCAAGGAGGCAGAACGGGCGGUGUAAGCCAUUUGCAACAGUCCCAAUUUAAUAUUCCGAUCAACUGUUUUAUUAGUCUCCUUGUGUUUUAAACGCUUUCUAGACGGCCUUGAGAAUCGUUUUAAUGGAAGGUAAAGAUUUAGCAAUACAUAAAUAAAUACAAUACAAUCAA